UCCCUGGUAGCUCAGUUGGUAGAGCGUCUGGCCGUUAACCAGAAUGCCGGCGGUUCGAGUCCGUCCCGGGGAG
Molecule: transfer RNA, 73 nt
Filed under: Candidatus Thiomargarita nelsonii
Lineage: Bacteria; Pseudomonadati; Pseudomonadota; Gammaproteobacteria; Thiotrichales; Thiotrichaceae
Rfam family: tRNA
About the family: Transfer RNA (tRNA) molecules are approximately 80 nucleotides in length. Their secondary structure includes four short double-helical elements and three loops (D, anti-codon, and T loops).
Source: Rfam by way of RNAcentral